Molecule: ribosomal RNA, 507 nt
Filed under: uncultured Glomeromycotina
Lineage: Eukaryota; Fungi; Glomeromycota
Description: partial small subunit ribosomal RNA
Rfam family: Eukaryotic small subunit ribosomal RNA
Source: RNAcentral
CCAAUAGCGUAUAUUAAAGUUGUUGCAGUUAAAAAGCUCGUAGUUGAAUUUCGGGAUUGGCGCAUCGGUCGUGCCUUACGGGGUAUGAACUGGUGCAGUCAAUUUCUCACCUUCUGGAGAACCGCGAUGUCCUUAAUUGGGUGCCGCGGGGAACCAGGACCUUUACUUUGAAAAAAUUAGAGUGUUUAAAGCAGGCAUUUUUGCUUGAAUACAUUAGCAUGGAAUAAUAAAAUAGGACGGCAUGGUUCUAUUUUGUUGGUUUCUAGGACCACCGUAAUGAUUAAUAGGGAUAGUUGGGGGCAUUAGUAUUCAAUUGUCAGAGGUGAAAUUCUUGGAUUUAUUGAAGACUAACUACUGCGAAAGCAUUUGCCAAGGAUGUUUCCAUUAAUCAAGAACGAAAGUUAGGGGAUCGAAGACGAUCAGAUACCGUCGUAGUCUUAACCAUAAACUAUGCCGACUAGGAAUCAGACGAUGUUAAUUUUUUAAUGACUCGUUUGGCACCUUACG